RNAcentral lists this long non-coding RNA (210 nucleotides) under Elaeis guineensis (African oil palm). RNAcentral describes it as "long non-coding RNA (EGUI_LNC063800)". Lineage: Eukaryota; Viridiplantae; Streptophyta; Magnoliopsida; Arecales; Arecaceae. The record is from RNAcentral.
AAACUAAUUCAAUGAUUUGAGAAUAAGAGAGAGAUCAGCCAGCAAGUCAUAAAUCCUCUCACUAACUUCACUAAGUCAUGAAGAGGACUAGAGACAAGCCAGGUCUAGAGACACCUAAAUCAGUCACACUGAUUUACCUUAAUGGCAUGAGUCAGCUCGAAUCAAUUAGUGACCUAAUCAAAACAUAAUCUAUCAAAUUGAUCAGGUAAG